UGCGAGUAUUCCAUCUUUCCAUUCUUCUUCUCUUCUCCUUUUCUUCUCCACUUUCUCUUUUUCUCUUUCUUUUUCUUUUUCUCUUUUUUUUUUGCACGUCACCUCUUCCUUUUUCAUCCCAUUGCUGAUCUUCCUUUCUCCUUUUUUUUUUCAGGAAUGGAUGUCGAAGCAGUACGGAUGCUUGCCAGGGGCCUCAAGGUUCACAAAAGGAAAGGCGCUGCGGCCUCCGGGUCGACAAAG
RNAcentral lists this long non-coding RNA (240 nucleotides) under Elaeis guineensis (African oil palm). RNAcentral describes it as "long non-coding RNA (EGUI_LNC043123)". Lineage: Eukaryota; Viridiplantae; Streptophyta; Magnoliopsida; Arecales; Arecaceae. The record is from RNAcentral.